UACGUAGGGGGCAAGCGUUGUCCGGAUUUAUUGGGCGUAAAGAGCGUGUAGGCGGCCAUACAGGUCCGUUGUGAAAACUGGAGGCUUAACCUCCAGACGUCGACGGAAACCGCGUGGCUAGAGUCCGGAAGAGGAGAGUGGAAUUCCUGGUGUAGCGGUGAAAUGCGCAGAUAUCAGGAAGAACACCAAUGGCGAAGGCAGCUCUCUGGGACGGUACUGACGCUGAGACGCGAAAGCGUGGGGAGCGAACAGG
RNAcentral lists this ribosomal RNA (253 nucleotides) under uncultured bacterium. RNAcentral's name for it is "partial 16S ribosomal RNA". It matches the Rfam family "Bacterial small subunit ribosomal RNA", at positions 524 to 776 of the family's 1533-position model. The record is from RNAcentral.